UGGGGAAUAUUGCACAAUGGGGGAAACCCUGAUGCAGCGACGCCGCGUGAGCGAAGAAGUAUUUCGGUAUGUAAAGCUCUAUCAGCAGGGAAGAAAAUGACGGUACCUGACUAAGAAGCACCGGCUAAAUACGUGCCAGCAGCCGCGGUAAUACGUAUGGUGCAAGCGUUAUCCGGAUUUACUGGGUGUAAAGGGAGCGUAGACGGAUGUGCAAGUCUGGAGUGAAAACCCGGGGCUCAACCCCGGGACUGCUUUGGAAACUGUAUAUCUUGAGUGCUGGAGAGGUAAGUGGAAUUCCUAGUGUAGCGGUGAAAUGCGUAGAUAUUAGGAGGAACACCAGUGGCGAAGGCGGCUUACUGGACAGUAACUGACGUUGAGGCUCGAAAGCGUGGGGAGCAAACA
RNAcentral lists this ribosomal RNA (402 nucleotides) under uncultured bacterium. RNAcentral's name for it is "bacterial SSU rRNA". It matches the Rfam family "Bacterial small subunit ribosomal RNA", at positions 355 to 774 of the family's 1533-position model. The record is from RNAcentral.